UGGGGAAUAUUGCACAAUGGGGGAAACCCUGAUGCAGCGACGCCGCGUGAGUGAAGAAGUAUUUCGGUAUGUAAAGCUCUAUCAGCAGGGAAGAUAAUGACGGUACCUGACUAAGAAGCCCCGGCUAACUACGUGCCAGCAGCCGCGGUAAUACGUAGGGGGCAAGCGUUAUCCGGAUUUACUGGGUGUAAAGGGUGCGCAGGUGGCAGGGCAAGUCAGAUGUGAAAGCCCGGGGCUCAACCCCGGUAUUGCAUUUGAAACUGUCCGGCUAGAGUGCAGGAGAGGUAAGCGGAAUUCCUAGUGUAGCGGUGAAAUGCGUAGAUAUUAGGAGGAACACCAGUGGCGAAGGCGGCUUACUGGACUGUAACUGACGUUGAGGCUCGAAAGCGUGGGGAGCAAACAGG
RNAcentral lists this ribosomal RNA (404 nucleotides) under uncultured bacterium. Its description in RNAcentral is "bacterial SSU rRNA". It matches the Rfam family "Bacterial small subunit ribosomal RNA", at positions 355 to 776 of the family's 1533-position model. The record is from RNAcentral.